GACGAACGCUGGCGGCGUGCUUAACACAUGCAAGUCGAACGGAAAGGCCCUGCUUUUUUGGUGUGCUCGAGUGGCGAACGGGUGAGUAACACGUGAGUAACCUGCCCUUGACUUUGGGGUAACUUCAGGAAACUGGGGCUAAUACCGGAUAGGAGCUCCUGCUGCAUGGUGGGGGGUGGAAAGUUUCGGCUGUUGGGGAUGGACUCGCGGCUUAGCAGCUUUUUGGUGGGGUGGUGGCUUACCAAGGCUUUGACGGGUAGCCGGCAUGAGAGGGUGACCGGCCACAUUGGGACUGAGAUACGGCCCAGACUCCUACGGGAGGCAGCAGUGGGGAAUAUUGCACAAUGGGCGGAAGCCUGAUGCAGCAACGCCGCGUGCGGGAUGACGGCCUUCGGGUUGUAAACCGCUUUCGCCUGUGACGAAGCGUGAGUGACAGUAAUGGGUAAAGAAGCACCGGCUAACUACGUG
RNAcentral lists this ribosomal RNA (468 nucleotides) under uncultured bacterium. Its description in RNAcentral is "partial 16S ribosomal RNA". It matches the Rfam family "Bacterial small subunit ribosomal RNA", at positions 28 to 507 of the family's 1533-position model. The record is from RNAcentral.